AACGAACGCUGGCGGCAGGCUUAACACAUGCAAGUCGAACGCACCCCCUUCAAGCGAGCUUGAGGGUUUUUUGAUCCGAUCGAGCGGAGCUUGCUUGAUGGGGGUGAGUGGCAGACGGGUGAGUAACGCGUGGGAAUCUACCUAGCUCUACGGAAUACUCCAGGGAAACUUGGGUUAAUACCGUAUACGCCCUGAUGAAGGGGAAAGAUUUAUCGGAGUUGGAUGAGCCCGCGUUGGAUUAGCUAGUUGGUGGGGUAAAGGCCUACCAAGGCGACGAUCCAUAGCUGGUCUGAGAGGAUGAUCAGCCACACUGGGACUGAGACACGGCCCAGACUCCUACGGGAGGCAGCAGUGGGGAAUAUUGGACAAUGGGGGCAACCCUGAUCCAGCCAUGCCGCGUGAGUGAUGAAGGCCCUAGGGUUGUAAAGCUCUUUCACCGGUGAAGAUAAUGACGGUAACCGGAGAAGAAGCCCCGGCUAACUUCGUGCCAGCAGCCGCAGUAAGAC
Molecule: ribosomal RNA, 506 nt
Filed under: uncultured bacterium
Lineage: Bacteria
Description: bacterial SSU rRNA
Rfam family: Bacterial small subunit ribosomal RNA
Source: RNAcentral